Non-coding RNA from Populus trichocarpa (black cottonwood), 156 nucleotides. The record is from Rfam. NCBI's taxonomy places the organism in Eukaryota, Viridiplantae, Streptophyta, Magnoliopsida, Malpighiales, Salicaceae.
UCUAGAACUCGAGAUAUGGGCUAAACACUAAGUAGUGUCUGGGCUGCAGGACAAAUUCUGACUUCUCCGUUGUUGCUACCAUUUGAACUCGAAAAUGACACUUUUAAAUCUUAGACUCCGCAUGAAAGUUUUAGGUCUAUGUCUUAGAUUUCCAUA